Molecule: long non-coding RNA, 3485 nt
Organism: Scylla paramamosain (green mud crab)
Lineage: Eukaryota; Metazoa; Arthropoda; Malacostraca; Decapoda; Portunidae
Exons: 3
Source: RefSeq, a predicted model, not a curated record
UAUAAGUAAAAAUCAGACAACGGAGGACAAAUAGUACUUUUCGUCUUGGGCGCGUGAGGUUGUCGAGGGGAAGGAUGACUGAUAGAAGAUGCUGAUAAGGGAAGGGUCAGCCGCAGGUGUAUUAAGUCAAGCCAGGUACGGCACUUGUCCUGGCUGCUACUUAAGAUGAGGCACCACUGAGCAGAUAAUAUUGGAAAGUAGUUUGAACAGCAACAUAAUUUCAGUGCUUGCCAUACGAAUAAGCUCUGUUUCCCUGCGCAGUGAAUUUAAAUUGUGAGAGACGCGCAGGAUUGCACACUUUGCAUACUUGAAGCUGAGACCGUGUUAUUGAAGCCUCACUCGUGUUCUACUUCAUUUACGCUCAAUCUGUCUUGAAUCCGAAUGAUCGAUGGAGGAGGUGGGGUUACCAGUGUAAAAAAAAUAUCCAUGCGAAGGGAGGAAGAAUGUAUUCCGUAUAAUGAAGUGAGGCGAACCUUACAGAUCAUUAACAUACGAAAAAGUGUACAUGUUUCAUUACAGGUACGAAGUGUAAUUUCAGUGCCUGGGUAGAGAGAAGUUAAUACAAAAAUACCUGCUGAAAAUGUAACUGGCAUAAAAACAUACGAGUGGAAAUGAAACAAAUCUAACACUACAAAUUCGCACUGUCUUGAUCCCUUCACUGCACCGCAACGUUGCGUCACUUUCUAUCUUCUACUGUUACUUCCGAAUUGCGUAAAGGCAUAAUACCUCCUCUCCUUCCACAUCCUCAUCGCACAACACUUUCUACUUAUUCUCAUUUUUGUUCUGUCCACCUUAGUUAUGGAAGAGUCGAUUGGUAUCUUCAUUCUUUCAUCCCCUUAACUUAUAAACUCUGAAACUCUCAUGUUUCUGGAUUUCCUCCUGUCUACGACACGAAUACUGUUUCAAAAGACCAGUAUCAAGACGCCUCAAAAAAUAAACUUCUCUCGGUUCUACUCUCUAGUUUCUUUUUAGGGAACGGCAUUUGAGCAGACUUUUUUCUCCCUUUUAUCUCUUUUCCCGCUUGAAUGACCUCCUUCAUAUAUGAAAAAAAAAAAAAAACUUGGAAGAUGACAAACAUAAUACGCAUAAGUGUUUACGUCAUUGGUGUGGUUGCUCAAAAUUCUAUCAAGAACUGUCCGUGAUGCAGGAAAAGAUUUUGAAACAGUGUGUUCCAUAAGUAAGCACGACACUGUCUUCUCAAGGUAACUGAACACUUAAUUGAGAGUAAUCUCUGAUGCAUGAAAGCAUCAUUGCUCGUUUUCAGCUUCUUGUUUCCAAACUUGUGAGUCAUUCCGUGGGAGAGUUCACACAAAACAGGAUACAUCACUGCCACGAGUAUGCCACUGGUUGCCUUUACGGUGACAGAUGAUGCUAAUGUGGACAAUUGCUGUAGAUUCUUCUCGCUGAUGACAAUCAACUGAAACACUGGAAAAAAAAAAAGCUCAAAUACUGCAAUCCUCUUCCUAAUGUGACUGCUUCAGAGAUAAAUUUUCCGAGCGUUUGGGAGGCAGCUUUACGACACCAUGUCUUUCUUCCUUUCAACUCAAAUAAACAAAAGUAGGAAUUAUUCGACUACGUCAGUAACUGAUGACUCACGUCAACUCAUGAGGAUAAACCUAUGUUUAAUAAAGUCUCUAUUAAGCCUCUUGAGAUACACAAAGAUUUGCUUCACACACCAAACCUUCUGGAAAGUGGUGACUAUUAGUUUUUUUUUUUAGUUGCAAGUGAUGCGAUGACUCACGUAUGGUAACCUUCUCUCAAGUCUUUGCUCGGCAAUAAACCCAAGAUCCGCACAGCGAGAGCAGCUGUCAUUAAAUUAUUCCAGGUGAUGAUGAAGGACUGAAAGUUCUGAAGAUGUUUCGGAGCUUCAUAGUACGUGCACACUAUUAAUCAACAAAAUAUUCCUUAGAGUGACAACAACCAAUCAGAGUCCAAUAGAUGACGAGCUGCCACACAUUAAAGCUCCCCGACCACAACACAACACAGCCGUGAAAAUCGCUCUGACAUGGUGGUCAUCCAUUACCUACAAGGCUCACAUUCUACUCUGUCCUGCCGGCAAAACACAAUCACCCAGAAGUACUCUGAUCUGCUGGAAGUUCCUCGACUCAACUGGUGGAUCCUCAGCGGACCAGAGAACUCGAGGUGGAGUGGAAACACUAAACACAGUGGACGUGAGUGUGGAGCGUUACUCGACUUCGUGACUGUGCCUUCAGAUUGAGAACCAGUGACAAAGAAAACACAAAUAAACAAAAGGGAAGAACAAGCAGCGGCAGUGUUAACAAUUCCGGCCAAGAUGGCUGCUUGAUAAUAUGCUGCUCCCAAAAGGACAACUAUAGGAGAUUCCAAAAGGUGGAACACUUUGGUGUCGGAGGUGGCUUGUUACUCCUCCAUCUGAAUUGUCUGUAUGUGUUAAUCUGCACAGGGAAUCAAGCUGGAUUUACUGCAAGUCUUUGGAGCAUCCAGCGCGACCAGACAAUAAUCAGCGGCUUGGCUCCCUCGCUCAAGCCAAGCCUAUAUUUAGACCGAGCUCGCUGUCCACUCCCUGUCUACCGUUGACUCCUGCAUCCACUCCAGUUAACCUUCCACAGUUACCAUUCUCGGAGUUCGUAACACUUGAAAGGAACUUUACAUUAUAAGCUUUUACUUUUGCCUCAUUAUAUUCCUACAGUCUUUGUUUUCCUGUCAGAACUGUUUUUCUCAAGGCCACAGAGAUGUUUGGUUGUGAUGAAUGAGUGAUUUCAUUAUGACGCAGGAACCUUGUUAAACAUCACAUAGUCAUGGGAGCAUCCCUUAAAACUCCAAUAACUUCCAAGUGAUCUGGUUCUGUGUAAGACAUCACAUGAUGGAAUGUUUAGCAAUACGGAAGACUAAAAUAAAAUGUAUGGACAGUAAAGGCGCAGUUCGUGUCAUGGCAAACCAGAGGCAGAGCGACCCAAGUACAGCCAACUGUGGCAAGAUCUGUCGCUAGUCUCUUCGGGGCAACGCAACACACAAGUGGAGGCAGCAAUACAAAUCAGAGUUCGGGCAAGGGUGUCAGAAUUCUUGGUCAGAUACUCGCGUUUUCUUUUCAGACGUACGAUAGACAGGCUUUACAUCAUAAUGAAAACCCUCAGAUCUUUAUAAGAUUCCGAAUUAUUUGUUAUUUAUAAGAUACCAAAUAAUUUCUACAUGUAUGACCCUGUCUCCGGCCGCUCGUGAGAUAGGAAAGGCAAGGUGACCUCUGCCUCGGCGCCCGUCGCAAGGCGCAGGAAGUCACAGCAUUAGUCAGAACGGGGACAAAGAUCUAGAAAGUAUCGUGACUUCAUGUUGGGAAAGUGCACCACAUGACGCCGUUGUGGCGGCGCCUUGGAACACCUCGAUCAGCCACUCGAGUCCAAUAAUUCUGUCAAUCACUCGUGUUGGAAAAGGUUAUGCGAGGAAUUUUCUUUGAAAUGACCAAAUCUCCAAGAGAGAGAGAGAGAGAGAGAGAGAGAGAGAGAGAGAGA